GAUGAACGCUGGCGGCGUGCCUAAUACAUGCAAGUCGAGCGAACGGACGAGAAGCUUGCUUCUCUGAUGUUAGCGGCGGACGGGUGAGUAACACGUGGAUAACCUACCUAUAAGACUGGGAUAACUUCGGGAAACCGUAGCUAAUACCGGAUAAUAUUUUGAACCGCAUGGUUCAAAAGUGAAAGACGGUCUUGCUGUCACUUAUAGAUGGAUCCGCGCUGCAUUAGCUAGUUGGUAAGGUAACGGCUUACCAAGGCAACGAUGCAUAGCCGACCUGAGAGGGUGUUCGGCCACACUGGAACUGAGACACGGUCCAGACUCCUACGGGAGGCAGCAGUAGGGAAUCUUCCGCAAUGGGCGAAAGCCUGACGGAGCAACGCCGCGUGAGUGAUGAAGGUCUUCGGAUCGUAAAACUCUGUUAUUAGGGAAGAACAUAUGUGUAAGUAACUGUGCACAUCUUGACGGUACCUAAUCAGAAAGCCACGGCUAGCUACGUG
RNAcentral lists this ribosomal RNA (497 nucleotides) under uncultured bacterium. Its description in RNAcentral is "partial 16S ribosomal RNA". It matches the Rfam family "Bacterial small subunit ribosomal RNA", at positions 28 to 507 of the family's 1533-position model. The record is from RNAcentral.